This is a non-coding RNA of Camellia sinensis, 3263 nucleotides long. The record is from RefSeq and is a predicted model, not a curated record. NCBI's taxonomy places the organism in Eukaryota, Viridiplantae, Streptophyta, Magnoliopsida, Ericales, Theaceae.
UCUUCCGUAUACGGUCUGCAUACAAACCACACCUCUCUCUCUCUCUCUCUCGUCUCUGUUCUGCAGCUCUACUGUCUCGCCUUCGCUUGUGCCGUCGCCGUCUCGCACCAAACCCCCAUCUCUCUUUUCUCCUUCUACCGACACACCACCACCAAUAGACCAUCGUACGUCCUUCCGCCGCUGGCGGCGACAGAUGCAGCAACGGUUGUGUGGUUCCGGUACCGGUGGAGGUUGUUGACUAGUCGUCGGCUCCUCCGGCUUACUUCGGAUGACUGGCCUUAAGAUCUACAACAUCUUCUCUCCUCAGAUCUACAACCUCUUCACUCUAGUCCGAGUUCUCCUCAUUCUCAUCAACAGUCGAUCAAUCCAAGUUACCUUUGCCAAAAGACAUAUCAGCUGAGGGAACACCAAUAUGUUGUACAAAGGCUGCAUAAUCUGAUCCCCCACCUCCUAACCUUCCAAUCUUCAUACAUGGAGUUCAGGUAAAUUAGCUGAACUAAAUUUUUUUUGACAUCAUUCUACCAAAUUUACUUUUCACUUUUUUGUUGUUGAAGAAACUUUGAAAUACUUACCAAGGAAUUAUUGCUAGAGCCAAACCAGGUGUCGUAGAUUGUUUGUGAUGAGUUAUCUGGGUCUUGAACCUUCCAAGAUAAGUACAAAUUUGAAUAAGUUGAGUUUUAAAAGGCUUUAUUGAGGUUUGCCUCGAGUUGUAAGGAAAAAUGCAUCGAGGCUUUGAUUUUUGUGCGAUACUCCGCACAAACAUGCGCAUCACAGUCUGAGAUGUGUGCCUCAUCUACACUUUAUAAGCCUUUUGAGCAUAAGCAUAUGAAGAGCUUGAACAUAAAAAAGAGGGACCUUGUAACUAUACCCCAUGAAAAAAUCAAGUAAAUGACCAAGAAAAAAAAGGAAAAAAAAAAAAACCAGUUAAGGCUCAAGUGAGAAGUUCAAUAACUAAAGCUACAAAUGUCAAUUUCACCUUCGAUGGAGGGUAGCUUCCUUCUCUACAGUAAAAUGUUUGAUGCUUUUAGGAGAAAAGCAUUUAAACCUUUAUAUUUAAUUUUUAGUAGUGUUUUAAUAUGUUAAAACAUUGUAUUUUUUUACUAAAUAUUAAAAAUGCUUGCGCCUCGAUGCCUUGAGGCUUAAGCUGCCUCAUGAGGGGUAAAAUGUCUCGCAUUAUGCAUUCUCCUUUAAAAACUUUAAGAUGAGUGGGAAAAUUAAAUAACUAGGUGAAAGAACAAUUAAAUCAAGAACCACUGAUAAGCGAAGUCAUCUGUUGUUUGUAUUUUUUUGUUUUUGUAGCCACUGUCACUAUUGUUUUUGGUAAUUCUUUGGGGUUACCUGUUGGGCGGCUUGUUUGAGUAGUUCAUCAAGCUGUGGAGUUGCAGAGGCGUAGAAACCUGCAUCAUCUACUGCAGAAUCAACAUUCAAAUAAGCAACUACUCUUGAAGCUAUCAUUUCCCUGUUUUCUUCAACCCAUUCUGUAGAUCCUAUCUGGAAAUGGGAAACGUUUUGAAUUUAGUCAAACUUGUUUUGUGAUGUGUGUGGAUGCGCGCGCGCGUGUGAGAGAGAGAGAGAGAGAGAGAGAGAGAGAGAGAGAGACCAGGCCAUACUCCUCAGCGUCCCAAUUGCAAAAGACAAUUGUUCGUCGUGGUUUCCAGCCUCUUUUCUGCAGCUUACCUAGCCUUUGUGCAACCUUCAUCCCACAUGAAAAUCAGGUAAAGGUCUAGUUAUUUGUUAAAAGAUGAGAAUUUUUUAAAUGAAGAAAAAGAGGAGACAAUAAGGGAAUGCAUUGGAUCCAUAAUUACCUCAAGCAUGGAUGCAGUGCCACUGUUAGGAUCAACAGCUCCAAAUGUCCAUGCAUCCCGAUGGUUACCCAGAAUCACAAAUCUAUGUAUAGUUGCAACACGGUGAUUAAAAUCAUUAUAAAGUAUUCUGGGGAAUGCAUAUUGGAGCUAAGUGAUGUUCUCCCUAAGAAGAACGGACACAAAUAGCAGGAUGCUGGUGGAUGAACUAGAGGCCAAAACGGUGAGGGUCCAGCCUACACGUUGGGAGAGGAAAUAUUGUCUCUCGGCACCACACAACAAUCUGGAGAUCCCAUCGCACCUAUGUGGCGGCCGAAACUAAGGUCCUACCACAUGCUCUGAGUGCCGAAGAGUAAAUUUCUCUUCAAUUCUAUGGAGUGACUAUGGAGAUUUAAAUCCAAGUAUUGAGCGAUGAAAUCUACUAAUGAGAUACAUGAAUAAUGAGGUUUGGUCAAUGAGUUAGUUCUAGUUAGUGAUAAGUUCUUGGAUUUUACAUCAUGCCCUCUCUCAGUUGAACUUUUCUACUAUUUGAGCUCCAAAGAAUAUUAUAGAUUUCGUGAGGGAAAAUGAAAUAAUCAUGGUGGCUGGAUUUUUUGGUGGCUCUUGAUGCCAAUGGUUUAUUGUUCUUGACAAAAUAUAUAUAUGAAUAGCCAGAUCUUAUGAAGUUUUUAGACUUAAAAGUUGCUGAGAUUCCUUAUAGGAUUUAUUACUGACCAGUACUACUUUUGGGACUUAAAUGCCUUAAACUCUAAUGAAUUUUUUAAAUGCACCAUUAAGGCCUAAGAUGCCUAUAGUACCUUUAUUAAUCUUUAUUAAUUUUUUCUUUUUCUCUUAUCUUCUCUCAUUCUAUCAAUUUUUAAAAUUUUUUUAGGUUGUCAUCUUCUCUCUCUCCCCUUCUUCUUCUUCUUCUUCUUUCUUUCUACACCACUUCUCUAAAGAGUUUCAAAUAAUCACCACCGUCUCACUGCCACUUUCGUUACACCACCACUGUUGCCAUGGCCAUUCACCUACCACCGAUCACCUCUACCAGCUACUGCUGCCACCAUCACCAUCCACCAACCAUCUCCAACAUUACCGAUUUACACUCCACCAUCUCCGAUCCACCAUUGUUCACCAAUCACUUACCGUCGCCAAUCUACACUCCAUUGUCGCUAAUCUACACUUUACUAUCUCCGAUCUACACUUCAUCAUCACAGAUGCAUCGUCAUCGCUGCAAAUCUAGUAAUCUCUAUCAUCCUCGUUAUCUACCAUGUUUCCGGCGAUCUCACAUGUUCUAAAUCUACACCAAUCUAGUUGUUUACAUGGUGAAAUCAACUUCAAUUGACUCAAAGCAACAAUGAUUCUCCAUAUCUCGUCUCUCUCUAUCUCCUUCAUUACCUCUUUAUUUCUUUCAAACCAACUUUGCUGCAAAAUCAAGAUUUAAUAAAUCAGUGAUAAAUUUAUCACUGAAUUUCUUUGUUU